UCAGACGGCCGGGCGGUCGCGGCGCAGCUUGCUGCGUCGAGGAAAGUCCGGGCUCCACGGUGAAAAGGCGGCGGAUAACUUCCGCCCGGGGCGACCCGAGGGAUAGCGCCACAGAAAGCAAACCUCCGGCCUUUCGAGGCCGGGAAGGGUGAAAGGGUGGGGUAAGAGCCCACCGCGGACCCGGCGACGGGGACGGCAUGGCAAGCCCCGCCUGGAGCAAGACCGAAUAGGGGCGUCGCGCGGGUUUCGGCCCGCAGGGCUCACCGCCCGAGACGCCCGGGUUGGUCGCGAGAACCGGUCAGCAAUGGCCGGUCCAGAGGAAUGAUCGUCGCCGUCCUUCGGGGCGGAACAGAACCCGGCUUACAGGCCGUCUGACCCC
Molecule: RNase P RNA, 379 nt
Filed under: Brevundimonas sp.
Lineage: Bacteria; Pseudomonadati; Pseudomonadota; Alphaproteobacteria; Caulobacterales; Caulobacteraceae
Description: RNase P RNA component class A
Rfam family: Bacterial RNase P class A
About the family: Ribonuclease P (RNase P) is a ubiquitous endoribonuclease, found in archaea, bacteria and eukarya as well as chloroplasts and mitochondria. Its best characterised activity is the generation of mature 5'-ends of tRNAs by cleaving the 5'-leader elements of precursor-tRNAs.
Source: RNAcentral